CCUAUACAUGGGUUUCUUCUUCAAUUGCUAUAAAUUCUCUCAAAGCCUCUAAAUCGUUCUCUGCGCAGCCUACUCCGAACUACUAGGAUUUCGAAAGCGAGGGUGAGAAUGAACCUAGACAUGAAAUCACUAUGAGGGCCAAGUGGAAGAAGAAAUGCAUGAGGAGGUUGAAGAGGAAGCGCCGAAAGAUGAGGCAGAGAUCCAAGUAGUUCUCUUGCCAAUAAAUCGACGUUGUUUUGUGUCUAAUCGGUUUUUGAUUAGAGAGUCAUUGUGUUUUCCAUUUUUAUGUUUGGAUUUAAUAUCUGAAAGGUUGGAUUUUUGUGCUGUU
Long non-coding RNA from Juglans microcarpa x Juglans regia, 328 nucleotides. RefSeq lists it as uncharacterized. Lineage: Eukaryota; Viridiplantae; Streptophyta; Magnoliopsida; Fagales; Juglandaceae. The record is from RefSeq and is a predicted model, not a curated record. The transcript is spliced from 2 exons.